UUGGUAGAGUUGGAAACAUACCAGGGGAUUCCAAUUCAAUCCCAUCAAGGUGGCAUGUGCCAAUGCCAUCUCACUAUUCCAAGUGAUCAAUUUCAGUUCACAAUUGAUCAUAAUGAAAGGACUAAGAGUCAAAGGGAGCACAUAAACAAGUCUAGUAUCUGCUAACACUAACCGAUAGAAUAAAUAAAGGGGAGAGUGAUCCAACAUGGGAAGUGAGAUACUCAGCAGACUCAUAGAAUGGCGGAUGUCCUAAAUAGCACUCUGGCCUCAGAAUCAGCCCUAAAGGCACUCGGAUCUGGCUGAAAAGCCCAUGAGAGUAUUUCAGGCAUGGAAAGCCAAGGCACUCUGGCAAAAAGAUCUCUGUGAGUGAGAUCCCAGUGGAAAGAACAGGUCUUCAAAGAGGGAGGUACCUUUCUCUGAAGGGAGGAGAGAACCUCCACUUUGACUAUGACCUUGUCUAAACAAGAUAAGAGUCGGAGAACUCAAGGGGCUUCCAUAGCCUUGGAAACUCAUGACUGGAGCAUAGGGAGAUUACUGAUGCCAUAGACAGGAGUGUCAAUUGGUAAAGUCAACAACAGGAGUCACUGUGCACUUACUCCUCAUGUAGGAUCUCUGUCCUUAAUGUGCUGUGCAUUGAGAUUUAAUGCUAUAACGAGUACUCAAAUAAUAUAUUUCACUUCGUGUUUCUAUGGGGGUGCAAACUGUUGAAAUCUUUACUUAAUGCAUACUAAACUGAUCCUCUAAAAAAAAAAAAAAAAAAAAAAGAAAAAAGAAAAGAAAAGAAAAGAAACUAUCAACUCCCAACUUGACUCUCACUGGGAUUAAACAUGACAAUAGGUCUGAUCUGAUUUCAUCAUCAUUAAAAAAAAAUCAUCUA
Molecule: non-coding RNA, 877 nt
Organism: Oryctolagus cuniculus (rabbit)
Lineage: Eukaryota; Metazoa; Chordata; Mammalia; Lagomorpha; Leporidae
Source: RefSeq, a predicted model, not a curated record